Molecule: long non-coding RNA, 2429 nt
Organism: Oncorhynchus tshawytscha (Chinook salmon)
Lineage: Eukaryota; Metazoa; Chordata; Actinopteri; Salmoniformes; Salmonidae
Exons: 5
Source: RefSeq, a predicted model, not a curated record
GCUGUGGGGUGAGUUCUGCGGUGUUGUCAUGUCCCGUUGUGUGUGGGGUUGGCGUUGAACUGCCCUACUGUGUGCACGUGUGUGUGUGUACACAAGGUUACAUGAUGUUGGAGCCUAUCUGUUGGCUGACGAGGAGUGCAGUCUGAUCCAGCAGGUUCACGCCAUCAGUAAUGUAGAGGAGUCUAUCUACAUGGAGUCUUCUGUCCAGCCCUAUGGGCCCCAGGCCAGGUAAAACACAGCAUGGAGUCUUCUGUCUAGUCCUAUGGGCCCCAGGCCAGGUAAAACACAGCAUGGAGUCUUCUGUCUAGUCCUAUGGGCCCCAGGCCAGGUAAAACACAGCAUGGAGUCUUCUGUCCAGCCCUAUGGGCCCCAGGCCAGGUAAAACACAACAUGGAGUCUUCUGUCUAGUCCUAUGGGCCCCAGGCCAGGUAAAACACAGCAUGGAGUCUUCUGUCUAGUCCAAUGGGCCACAGGCCAGGUAAAACACAGCAUGGAGUCUUCUGUCUAGUCCAAUGGGCCCCAGGCCAGGUAAAACACAACAUGGAGUCUUCUGUCUAGUCCUAUGGGCCCCAGGCCAGGUAAAACACAGCAUGGAGUCUUCUGUCUAGUCCUAUGGGCCCCAGGCCAGGUAAAACACAGCAUGGAGUCUUCUGUCCAGCCCUAUGGGCCCCAGGCCAGGUAAAACACAGCAUGGAGUCUUCUGUCUAGUCCUAUGGGCCCCAGGCCAGGUAAAACACAGCAUGGAGUCUUCUGUCUAGUCCUAUGGGCCCCAGGCCAGGUAAAACACAGCAUGGAGUCUUCUGUCUAGUCCUAUGGGCCCCAGGCCAGGUAAAACACAGCAUGGAGUCUUCUGUCUAGCCCUAUGGGCCCCAGGCCAGGUAAAACACAGCAUGGAGUCUUCUGUCUAGUCCUAUGGGCCCCAGGCCAGGUAAAACACAGCAUGGAGUCUUCUGUCUAGUCCUAUGGGCCCCAGGCCAGGUAAAACACAGCAUGGAGUCUUCUGUCUAGUCCAAUGGGCCCCAGGCCAGGUAAAACACAGCAUGGAGUCUUCUGUCCAGCCCUAUGGGCCCCAGGCCAGGCACAUGGCUCAGGCAGACCUGAAGAGCUCUACGUUUUGGCUAAGGGCAAGCGUGGGGGCAACCGUGUUUGCAGUCCUGGGCUUCGCUAUGUACAGAGCUAUCCUCAAACAACGAUGAUCAAGACAGACACAGGAUGCAUGAGAUGACCCUUGACCCGCCCCCCACCGCCUAGUCUCUGCCCUUUGACCCCUCACGCCCUCCCUGAAAGAGAACAUGACCUCCAACAUCCCACAGUCCUCUGCUCCCCUUCCCCAAAAAAGAGACAACUACUGAAUGAAACGGAACUUCCAGCCCAUCUGAACCUGAUCCCACAUCCACCCUACCGGAGAAGGAACAAACCGGAGAAACCAUAGAUUGAUUUUAUAUAUUUGAAACAGAGAAAAAAACUUGUCAUCAACUGUUUUUUGUUUUUCUUUGGGGGGAAAAAAUGUCACCACAAACUCACAUUGUAUUUUUUGAACACCAUCUAAUCAAUCUACUGCAGGCAUUCUGGUAUCGUAUGAUCUGGUCUAGUCUUGGGGGUUUUUCUUCUCCAGGUCAGACAGUAGUAGUUGCUGGUUGUUUUUAAAUCUGUGUAGAACCCAGCCUUUUUUCUCAGGUCAGUAUUAUAGCUAGCUGGUUUAGGUCAGUAUUAUAGCUAGCUGGUUUGACCCCAGAGCCCAGGAGAAAGCAAAGAAGGCAGCCGCAUACAACUCACUACAAAAGGGACUGAAAAUAUUUGUUUAUAGGUGUGUGUGUAUAUAUAAAUAUAUAUAUUUGCUCGGGUACUUAGAGAAAUACCCAACUAGAUUACGGCGUGAACAAAGCUUGCCAGGAUCAAAGCAUUCAGUUCUGUAACACCUCAACAGUGAGCCUACAGGAAGAGCUGCAAAGUCAAAGCCAUUUUUAACGUUGAAAAGGUCAUGGGUUUCGUGCACGCGUUUCAAUUGCUAUUAAUUUAUUAACCUGUUUUCUUUGGUUUAUCAGUUUGGAAUGGUUUGUUCAGCAUUGCAUGAAACAGACGCACUUCAAGAGGAUAAUGCAUUCAUUUCCCAUGUGUUUUUGUAUAUCUAGUAUUAUCAAAGCCGUUAUUAAUAAUGACAUCCAUCAUUCACUUACUCUGAAAGACAAAAGACUACAACAUUAUCAUGACUGCUUCUUCCUCGACUUGUUUUAUUUUCCUGUUUUUAAAAUAGCUUUUUUCCUUUCAUAUUAUGGUUUUAUUUGUCUGUUCCACUGUUAUGCCUCCAGAUUCCACUAUGUUAUUAACAGCCAUGCAGUGCACCUCUGACUCCCUCCUUGGACCAUGGAUGGAACUGUUUAUUCUCAUUGACUUUUCCAACAUUUACAAUAAAGAACUGUGUGAUCUGA